CGCCUUUUGAAUUAUAAACAUAAAAGGUCCUGCCUGCCCAGUGACAUCUGUUUCAACGGCCGCGGUAUCAUGACCGUGCAAAGGUAGCGUAAUCACUUGUCUUUUAAAUAAAGACCAGUAUGAAUGGCAAGACGAAAGCCUAACUGUCUCCCUAAGUUAGUCAAUAAAAUUGAUUUUCCCGUGCAGAAGCGGGAAUAAUAAUAUAAGACGAGAAGACCCUGUGGAGCUUCAAACUUUAAGCUAACAAUCACAAAUAUCUUAGCACCAGUUUUGGGUUGGGGCGACCAUGAGGUAAAACACAACCCUCAAGACAUAAAACUAAGAAGGACACUUCAAAUAAAUAAUAAUAACAUAUUGACCCAAUAAUUGAUCAACGAACCAAGUUACCCCAGGGAUAACAGCGCAAUCUACUCAAAGAGCCCUUAUCGAAGAGCAGGUUUACGACCUCGAUGUUGGAUCAGGACUCCCAAAUAAUGCAACAGUUAUUAAAGGUUCGUUUGUUCAACGAUUAAAGUCCU
RNAcentral lists this ribosomal RNA (518 nucleotides) under Pseudoeurycea sp. j SMR-2022. Its description in RNAcentral is "partial large subunit ribosomal RNA". It matches the Rfam family "Bacterial large subunit ribosomal RNA", at positions 1817 to 2597 of the family's 2925-position model. The record is from RNAcentral. Lineage: Eukaryota; Metazoa; Chordata; Amphibia; Caudata; Plethodontidae.